GACGAACCGUGCGAACGUUGUUCGGAAUCACUGGGCUUAAAGGGCGCGUAGGCGGCUCGCGAGGUCGGGGGUGAAAUCCCACAGCUCAACUGUGGAAGUGCCUUCGAUACCGGCGGGCUGGAGGAAGGUAGGGGUGCGCGGAACUUCUGGUGGAGCGGUGAAAUGCGUUGAUAUCAGAAGGAACGCCGGCGGCGAAAGCGGCGCACUGGACCUUUUCUGACGCUGAGGCACGAAAGCGUGGGGAGCAAACAGG
Molecule: ribosomal RNA, 253 nt
Filed under: uncultured bacterium
Lineage: Bacteria
Description: partial 16S ribosomal RNA
Rfam family: Bacterial small subunit ribosomal RNA
Source: RNAcentral